CAGGAUUUCCAGCUUCCACUGUGAUCCCUGUGUCUGUAAUUCUGCUGCUGCUUGUGAUUGGAGUCAUAUUCCUUGCUUUACAAAUAAAAUUCACUUCUAUGUCCAGGUGUUCCAACCAAGACCAGGAGGUCUCUGUUGCUGUGUGUGACUGUGAGGAGGAGAAAUCUGCUGAAGGUCUAAUUUACACAGUGGUUAUUUACAGCAGUGUCUCCAGCUUUAAUGAGGCAGUUCCACACAUUGAGGACGAGGUCUUGUGUGACUUCAGUCAGUUACACUGAUUUAUGUGGAUAGAUUACUGAACUGAGAUUAGAGACAAAUAACCUGUACAUUGGAUCUCUACUGAUUUAUUGAGACUUUUCUUCCUUUGUUAUGUGUAAAAACACCAGAUUUUCUAAAAAUUCACAAUAAAUAUACAUUUGUCAAGUUGUGGAAGUCAUGUAGUAUGUUAUACAACCUUUAUUAUACAGUACUCUUCCACAUCCAUA
This is a long non-coding RNA of Clarias gariepinus (North African catfish), 485 nucleotides long. RefSeq lists it as uncharacterized. NCBI's taxonomy places the organism in Eukaryota, Metazoa, Chordata, Actinopteri, Siluriformes, Clariidae. The transcript is spliced from 3 exons. The record is from RefSeq and is a predicted model, not a curated record.